UGAGCCAAGGAGCAGCGUAUAGUCCAGAGGGUCAGCCUAUGGGGAGCUUUGUAUUGGAUGGUCAGCAACACAUGGGGAUCCGGCCCGCAGGUAGGCUUCUCCAUGCUUUCUCUGAGCAUCCCCAGGAAGUGUCACCUCUUCCACCAGCCUUUCUCAUCCACUCCACCUUCCCACUCUUAGGGCGGGUUGAACAUUUGCUUGCUGCCUGCUCUGCUUGCUUCCUUGAUAUCGGGGAGGGGGAGAAAUGUCCUCAUUGAGAAAAAAGGACGGAUUUUGCAACGGUUACCACUGGACUCUGCCCAUACACAUCGUUUUCGUUUUCAUUUUCUUUUUCUUUUUUUUUUCCCCCCUUUUGAAACCAAGGCAGUAAAUGAAAAGGAAUCUGAGUUUCCUCCUUUUUUCCCCCAUCAAUUAUUGCUGAUUUUCCGGCCUCUUCUUGGAUUUUAUCUCCCUUCUAGGACCCAUGAGUGGAAUGGGCAUGAAUAUGGGCAUGGAUGGGCAAUGGCACUACAUGUAACCUUCGCCAUGUAAAGCAAUCGCAAGGCAAGGGGGAAGUAAGUACAGCUGGGUGCGACCUGUCUUCACUAUCACUUCAGAGACUCCAUUUGAUUUUUUUUUUAUCAUUUGCCCCUGUUUUAUUUUUCCUUGCCCAUAACUGCAUGCCUUUCCAAACUAAGGAUCUGUUUUUAAACACACGUCACCCAUCUCUGAAGGCACAGAUGACACUGAUGUGCACUUUUGAGAAGGCCAGCUGACAAAGCCUGCGUGUGUUUUCAGCAGGUGCCUUUGUAGCCUAUUUACUGUGGCCCCAGUGUGCACACAACACAGACGUCAGGCAAAUAUUGGACAUUUAAGAAUAAAAAUAACGUCUUGGGGGCACCAGUUGACUGAGAGAAAUUAAGCAGGCUUCAAUGAAGCGAUAAAAAAAAGGAAAAGUAGAAUUGUCCUUUGAGUGACAUAAAUCUGUCAGAGCGCGAUUGAUGCCCAAAUUAUCUUAUAUGCAAAGAUGAAAUGCGGCAGUUCAUUACGCCUAGUCUAGAUAUAUGACAGCGGUGACACCAUUGAUUCUUCACUAGGGAGCCGGUGUGUUUUGAUUAUUUUUUACAUGUGCCUACUGACUUUCGACAUGAGACAGAAAGACAGGAAAGUCAGUCAAUAAAUUUAAAGGGAAAGACAUUUAGGAGCGACUGCAUAUGAAGGAAUGAAUUUCUCACUAAGCCUGAGUGGCUGCAGUUGGAUUAAGAAACCCAUUAGACGUUAAAGCUUCAAGUGUUUUUGACAUCUGAAAAAAAAAAAAA
This 1298-nucleotide long non-coding RNA is filed under the name Rattus norvegicus (Norway rat). Its description in RNAcentral is "long non-coding RNA NONRATT019579". The record is from RNAcentral. Lineage: Eukaryota; Metazoa; Chordata; Mammalia; Rodentia; Muridae.